CCACCCUUCGUGCCGCCUGUAGAAAUACAAAUAGCCGAAGAAGGUGAGUAGGGCGAAACGGUUCCAACGCUGUCCAGGAAGAGGAAACGUACACCUGACAGCCAUCCAAGUUCUGCUUCGGCCCCAUCUCCUCAGGAGCCGAUUCCCAAUAAAUCUCCUUCUCCCGAGACUAUAUAUGCGGACCCUACUCCUCCUGAACAGCCAGCUCCUUCUCCGAAAAGGUCAAGACCCUCU
This 234-nucleotide long non-coding RNA is filed under the name Panax ginseng (ginseng). RNAcentral describes it as "long non-coding RNA (PGIN_LNC011935)". The record is from RNAcentral. Lineage: Eukaryota; Viridiplantae; Streptophyta; Magnoliopsida; Apiales; Araliaceae.